GAGGGUAUAGCUCAAGUGGUAGAGCACGUGCUUAGCACGCACAAGGUCCUGGGUUCAGUCCCCAGUAACUCCU
This 73-nucleotide transfer RNA is filed under the name Camelus ferus (Wild Bactrian camel). It matches the Rfam family "tRNA". From Rfam's summary of the family: Transfer RNA (tRNA) molecules are approximately 80 nucleotides in length. Their secondary structure includes four short double-helical elements and three loops (D, anti-codon, and T loops). Lineage: Eukaryota; Metazoa; Chordata; Mammalia; Artiodactyla; Camelidae. The record is from Rfam by way of RNAcentral.